CAAAAACAUGUCCUUUUGUUUAUUAAUUUAAGGUCUAGCCUGCCCAAUGAGGAAUUGAAUGGCCGCAGUAUAUUAACUGUGCUAAGGUAGCGUAAUCAUUUGUCUUUUAAUUGAGGGCUGGAAUGAAGGGUUGGACGAGGUAUUGGCUUUCUUUUAUUCAGUUUGAAGAAUUUAAUUUUUGAGUUAAAAAGCUUAAAUUUAUUUAUGGGACGAGAAGACCCUAUAGAUCUUUAUAGUUCUAAUAUUUUAAUAAUUUAGGGAUUUAUAUAUUUGGGGUAAAUGAACUAUUUUGUUGGGGUGACUGUAGAAUUUGAGUAACUUCUAUUAUGUAUUUUCAUUAAUUAGUGUUUUUUUGAUCCAUAAUUUAUGAUUAGAAGAUUAAGUUACCUUAGGGAUAACAGCGUAAUUUCCUCGGAGAGUUCAUAUUGAUGAGGGGGUUUGCGACCUCGAUGUUGGAUUAAAAUGAGUUAUGGAUGCAGGAGUCUAUUUACUAGGUCUGUUCGACCUUUAAAUUUUUACAUGAUCUGAGUUCAAACCGGAGA
RNAcentral lists this ribosomal RNA (542 nucleotides) under Triatoma sordida. Its description in RNAcentral is "partial 16S ribosomal RNA". It matches the Rfam family "Bacterial large subunit ribosomal RNA", at positions 1808 to 2622 of the family's 2925-position model. Lineage: Eukaryota; Metazoa; Arthropoda; Insecta; Hemiptera; Reduviidae. The record is from RNAcentral.